This 419-nucleotide ribosomal RNA is filed under the name bacterium. RNAcentral's name for it is "partial 16S ribosomal RNA". It matches the Rfam family "Bacterial small subunit ribosomal RNA", at positions 355 to 776 of the family's 1533-position model. The record is from RNAcentral.
UGGGGGAUAUUGCACAAUGGGCGCAAGCCUGAUGCAGCGACGCCGCGUGGGGGAUGAAGGCCUUCGGGUUGUAAACUUCUUUUGCUCUGAACAAGGCGCACUUUGGGGUGUGUUGAGUGUAGGGGUUGAUUAGCGCCGGCUAACUACGUGCCAGCAGCCGCGGUAAUACGUAGGGCGCGAGCGUUGUCCGGAAUUAUUGGGCGUAAAGGGCUUGUAGGUGGCUGGUUGCGUCUGUCGUGAAAGCUCAUGGCUUAACUGUGGGUUUGCGGUGGGUACGGGCUGGCUUGAGUGCAGUAGGGGAGGCUGGAAUUCCUGGUGUAGCGGUGGAAUUCGCAGAUAUCAGGAGGAAUACCGGUGGCGAAGGCGGGUCUCUGGGCUGUUACUGACACUGAGGAGCGAAAGCAUGGGGAGCGAACAGG